Molecule: ribosomal RNA, 460 nt
Filed under: uncultured bacterium
Lineage: Bacteria
Description: partial 16S ribosomal RNA
Rfam family: Bacterial small subunit ribosomal RNA
Source: RNAcentral
CCUACGGGUGGCAUCAGUGAGGAAUAUUGGUCAAUGGACGAGAGUCUGAACCAGCCAAGUAGCGUGAAGGAUGACUGCCCUAUGGGUUGUAAACUUCUUUUAUAUGGGAAUAAAACGUUCCACGUGUGGGAUUUUGUAUGUACCAUAUGAAUAAGGAUCGGCUAACUCCGUGCCAGCAGCCGCGGUAAUACGGAGGAUCCGAGCGUUAUCCGGAUUUAUUGGGUUUAAAGGGAGAGUAGGUGGAUUGUUAAGUCAGUUGUGAAAGUUUGCGGCUCAACCGUAAAAUUGCAGUUGAAACUGGCAGUCUUGAGUACAGUAGAGGUGGGCGGAAUUCGUGGUGUAGCGGUGAAAUGCUUAGAUAUCACGAAGAACUCCGAUUGCGAAGGCAGUUCACUGGACUGCAACUGACACUGAGGCUCGAAAGUGUGGGUAUCAAACAGGAUUAGAUACCCCGGUAGUC